CGUAUAGUUUUUUUAAUCGUUAUCAUAUUAUGUACAAUCAUAUUAUUAUAGGCAGGUACCUAGGUAAAAAUUCCAAGCAAAAAUUAAUAAUAAAAUCAUGUAAGUAUUUAACAAAUAUGCAGUUAGAAUUGCACUCUAUAGUUCGUUUGUCAUAAAUGGGCUAUAAUUUUUAUUUGUAUUUUUCUAUUAUUAUUAUCAUUAAUAAUAAUUGAUAGUAUUAUAAUAUUAUUAUAGUUUAGGUGAUUGUACACAUUAUCAUCAUCAUCAUAGGUGGAGAUUUAAUUUUUUAAUUUUUUUGGUUGGGGUGGACUAGAAAGUAUAAAAUAUUUUAAUGCCACUGGCUUUAUUAGUAUAUAACAAACAAAUUUUACGAGCGAGGUCUUUGGGUAGUUUUGAAGGGAGCUGAUCCCCUCUAUCUUCCCCAAUCUCCACCUAUGAAUUCAUUGUAUGUACUUAAUAUUAUUAUCAUU
Non-coding RNA from Cinara cedri, 470 nucleotides. Lineage: Eukaryota; Metazoa; Arthropoda; Insecta; Hemiptera; Aphididae. The record is from the annotation of a GenBank genome assembly.